RNAcentral lists this ribosomal RNA (497 nucleotides) under uncultured bacterium. RNAcentral describes it as "partial 16S ribosomal RNA". It matches the Rfam family "Bacterial small subunit ribosomal RNA", at positions 28 to 507 of the family's 1533-position model. The record is from RNAcentral.
GAUGAACGCUGGCGGCGUGCCUAAUACAUGCAAGUCGAGCGAACGGACGAGGAGCUUGCUUUUCUGAUGUUAGCGGCGGACGGGUGAGUAACACGUGUAUAACCUACCUAUAAUACUGGUAUAACUUCGGGAAACCGGAGCUAAUACCGGAUAAUAUUUUGCACCGCAUGGUUCAUAGGUGAAAGUCGGUCUUGCUGUCACUUAUAGAUGGAUCCGCGCUGCAUUAGCUAGUUGGUAAGUUAACGGCUUACCAAGGCGACGAUGCAUAGACGAACUGAGAGGGUGAUCGCCCACACUAGAACUGAGACACGGACCAGGCUCCUACGGGAGGCAGCAGUAGGGAAUCUUACGCAGUGGGCGAAAGCAUGACGGAGCAACGCCGCGUGAGAGAUGAAGGUCUCCGGAUCGUAAAGCCCUCUUAUUAGGGAAAAACAUAUGUGUACGUAACUGUGCCCAUCGUGACGGUACCUAAUCAGAAAGCAACGGCUAACUACGUG